This 215-nucleotide long non-coding RNA is filed under the name Lonchura striata (white-rumped munia). RNAcentral describes it as "domestica (Bengalese finch) lncRNA (ENSLSDG00000000610.1)". Lineage: Eukaryota; Metazoa; Chordata; Aves; Passeriformes; Estrildidae. The record is from RNAcentral.
AUUUGAGAGUGAGGAAGAGGAGGAUGAAGAGGAUGAGGAAGAUGAGGAAGAAGAGGAAGAUCCAGGCAGGAAAAAUUGGAAAAAAAGGGGGAAAAUAGAGGAAAAAUCCCAAAAAAUGACCCAAAAAUUGGGCAAAAAAUCCAAAUUUGAGAGUGAGGAAGAGGAGGAUGAAGAGGAGGAGGAAGAUGAGGAGGAAGAAGAGGAAGAUCAAGGCA